Andrographis paniculata is the source of this 2057-nucleotide RNA transcript. RefSeq lists it as uncharacterized. The transcript has 9 exons. The record is from RefSeq and is a predicted model, not a curated record. NCBI's taxonomy places the organism in Eukaryota, Viridiplantae, Streptophyta, Magnoliopsida, Lamiales, Acanthaceae.
AUGGAAGACAAGAUUGGAAUCCACCUUGUCGACUCGGAAGACAGCGCCGAGUUCGCUCACCUGAGUCGCGAGUUGACUCACUCAUCGGUUGUCGGGCUCGACGCGGAAUGGAAGCCCAAUGGCCGCGCAUCGACGUUCCCCACCGUCACCCUCCUCCAAAUUGCCUGCCACGUCGCCGGCUCCGGCGACUUGCCGGUUUUCCUUAUCGAUAUCCAUGCGAUUUCAUUGCCCCCGGUGUACGACUUGUUGAAGCAAGUGUUCGAAUCGCCUGAUGUGUUGAAAUUGGGAUUUAGAUUUAAGCAGGAUUUGGCGUAUCUUUCGUCCACGUUUUGUGAGCGGGGAUGUGAUCCUGGUUUCGAUAGGGUAGAGCCGUUUAUGGAUAUUACUGCCAUAUACAACCAUCUACAACCCAAACAACUUGGAAGAAGGAUGCCAAAACAGACAAAGAGCUUGGCAGCAAUAUGCAGUGAAGUUUUAGGCAUUUCACUCUCCAAGGAACUUCAGUGUAGUGACUGGUCACAGCGUCCUCUAACAGAGGAGCAGAAGGCAUAUGCUGCUGCGGAUGCAUAUUGUUUGAUCAAGAUAUUUGAUGUCUUCCAUGCAAAGAUUUUCCAAGAAGGAAGGUUUCCACAAAAUCAGAAUAGAUACCGGCCAUCUGAUUCUGAUCCUCAGUCGAAGAAGAUACUUGAGUUACCUAAUGGGAGUGACAUGGCGGCAGGGACAGAAUUUUGUGAAGCUUCCAGUACGAUCCAAACAAACAUGUCUGGGUUAGAUAGUAGAAUACAAGUUACAAAGGAAGUAGAUUCGGUGAAGUCAAAGAAAAUUAUUGACAGCUUCUUAUACAUUCUUGAGAAGUAUGGUGACAAGAUUUUGUUGAAGGAAGUGGACAGAAAGCCUAAAGUGUCAAAAAAGAAGGCUAAAAGGAUGACCAGUGGAUUAUUGUCCAAAGCAAAGAACCCUGAAAUUGAAGAGAAUUGGCUGGGUCCGCCUCCCUGGGAUCCAUCCUUGGGAGGUGAUGGAUUCCCCAAGUUUUUGUGCGAUGUGAUGAUUGAAGGCUUGGCAAAGCAUUUACGUUGUGUCGGAAUAGAUGCUGCCAUUCCAUGGUCAAAGAAACCUGAUGCCAGGGAACUCAUAGAUCAAGCACAAAAGGAGAACAGAGUGCUGUUAACCCGCGAUGCCAAGCUGUUGAGACAUGAAUAUUUACUUACAAAUCAAAUUUAUAGGAUCAGAAAUCUCCUUAAAAAUGACCAGCUUCUUGAGAUAAUCGAAACAUUUCAGUUGAAGAUUUCAGAGGAUCAGCUGAUGUCAAGGUGUACUAAAUGCAACGGGAAGUUCAUCCAGAAACCACUCACGACUGAAGAAGCUGUAGAAGCUUCUAAGGGGUUUCAAGUGAUUCCCAAGUGCCUGUUCAACAAGAAUUUGGAAUUCUGGCAGUGCAUGGACUGCCAUCAACUAUACUGGGAGGGAACACAAUAUCACAAUGCAGUUCAGAAGUUCAUCGAUGUGUGCAAACUAAACGAGCAACUGUAAAAUUGUGUGGUUAGAAAUAUUCAAGAUGCAUAUUGCUGAGUGUAAGCUACACCUAUUAUCAAAAUUCGGUUCAUUUGAUUAAUACAGCCGCGCCCUAGUUGAUCCAACCAAAAUUAUAUCAAUUUACAACCGGUGGAAAAGCUGGGAUUUUUUCGAUCUUUCCUGCUUACGCUGAUUGGAAUGGAGCAAGAGAAUCAAAUCCCAGAUUGUAUUAAGAGACAAGUAAAGCAGAGUCGCGUGAAGGUUCGGGCACGUGCGACGCGCCUGCGUGCAUACGUCUUAACGGUGACGUCGGUAGCCGUCAAUCCUGUCUUCGAUUUGACGGUCCAGAUUGCAUCAGCAACGCGGAUUUCACGUUUCGCGCUCUCGUUAGCCCAGACGGGGGCCCCUCUACAGUGCCUGUUAUUGAAUGCCACGUGGACACUUGAGCAUGGUGUAGGUUUUAAAUAAUACUACUAAUAUUUGUAUUUGCGUGAAGAAAUUUUUGGAUUUGAGAGAAUAUUAAUCGAAGAGUACGGAGUGUAUCA